This 254-nucleotide long non-coding RNA is filed under the name Cyanistes caeruleus (blue tit). RNAcentral describes it as "lncRNA (ENSCCEG00000015703.1)". Lineage: Eukaryota; Metazoa; Chordata; Aves; Passeriformes; Paridae. The record is from RNAcentral.
CCUGAGAUAAGAUUGGCUGGGAUGUCUCAUACCUUUUGUCUUAAAGAUUUAAGAAUAUUGAGUGGAACCUCAUUAAGAGUGACCGUGAUCCAAAAAUCAGAAGGGUAAUUUCAAGAGAAGGAAGAACUCACGGCAUAAAUUCCAAAACCUACACAUUAAAUAACAAGAGCUGCUUUAGGAUAGCAUGGACACCACCUUUGGCAGGAAAUAGGAAAUUAAAUUAGAGGUGGAAGUUUAAAUUGUAAGUGCAUUUG